ACGAACGCUGGCGGCGCGCUUAACACAUGCCAGUCGAACGGAAAGGCCUGCUUUCCCUUGUGGAUUGCGGGUACUCGAGUGGCGAACGGGUGAGUAACACGUGAGUGAUCUGCCCCCAACUUGGGUAUAAGCCUGGGAAACUGGGUCUAAUUCCCGAUAGGACUGCAGGGUGGUGCCUGUGGUGGAAAACGAUUUUCUAGUGGUUGGGGAUGAGCUCGCGGCCUAUCAGCUUGUUGGUGGGGUAAUGGCCUACCAAGGCGGCGACGGGUAGCCGGCCUGAGAGGGUGGACGGCCACAUUGGGACUGAGAUACGGCCCAGACUCCUACGGGAGGCAGCAGUGGGGAAUAUUGCACAAUGGGCGGAAGCCUGAUGCAGCGACGCCGCGUGGGGGAUGACGGCCUUCGGGUUGUAAACUCCUUUCGACCGCGAGGAAGCCACCUGGUUGGAAGGGUGGUGACGGUAGUGGUAGAAGAAGCACCGGCUAACUACGUG
RNAcentral lists this ribosomal RNA (493 nucleotides) under uncultured bacterium. RNAcentral describes it as "partial 16S ribosomal RNA". It matches the Rfam family "Bacterial small subunit ribosomal RNA", at positions 29 to 507 of the family's 1533-position model. The record is from RNAcentral.